GACGAACGCUGGCGGCGUGCCUAAUACGUGCAAGUAGAACGCUGAAGAGAGGAGCUUGCUCUUCUUGGAUGAGUUGCGAACGGGUGAGUAACGCGUAGGUAACCUGCCUGGUAGCGGGGGAUAACUAUUGGAAACGAUAGCUAAUACCGCAUGAUAUUAAUUGUCGCAUGAUAAUUAAUUGAAAGAUGCAAUUGCAUCACUACCAGAUGGACCUGCGUUGUAUUAGCUAGUUGGUGAGGUAACGGCUCACCAAGGCGACGAUACAUAGCCGACCUGAGAGGGUGAUCGGCCACACUGGGACUGAGACACGGCCCAGACUCCUACGGGAGGCAGCAGUAGGGAAUCUUCGGCAAUGGGGGGAACCCUGACCGAGCAACGCCGCGUGAGUGAAGAAGGUUUUCGGAUCGUAAAGCUCUGUUGUAAGAGAAGAACGGGUGUGAGAGUGGAAAGUUCACACU
This 458-nucleotide ribosomal RNA is filed under the name Streptococcus sanguinis. RNAcentral's name for it is "bacterial SSU rRNA". It matches the Rfam family "Bacterial small subunit ribosomal RNA", at positions 28 to 470 of the family's 1533-position model. The record is from RNAcentral. Lineage: Bacteria; Bacillati; Bacillota; Bacilli; Lactobacillales; Streptococcaceae.